RNAcentral lists this unclassified non-coding RNA (314 nucleotides) under plant metagenome. Its description in RNAcentral is "partial contains 5.8S ribosomal RNA, internal transcribed spacer 2, and large subunit ribosomal RNA". The stretch from base 1 to 105 matches the Rfam family "5.8S ribosomal RNA", at positions 50 to 154 of the family's 154-position model. The record is from RNAcentral.
GAAAUGCGAUAAUUAAUGUGAAUUGCAGAAUUCAGUGAAUCAUCGAGUCUUUGAACGCACAUUGCGCCCCCUGGUAUUCCGGGGGGCAUGCCUGUCCGAGCGUCAUUGCUGCCCUCAAGCACGGCUUGUGUGUUGGGCUUCCGUCCCUGGCAACGGGGACGGGCCCAAAAGGCAGUGGCGGCACCAUGUCUGGUCCUCUAGCGUAUGGGGCUUUGUCACCCGCUCCCGUAGGUCCAGCUGGCAGCUAGCCUCGCAACCAAUCUUUUUAACCAGGUUGACCUCGGAUCAGGUAGGGAUACCCGCUGAACUUAAGC